GGGUUCUUGGGACCAGGGAGGGAGAUACAAUGCUGGAUGUUCUCACCCUGCCACUGUACAUAACUCCCGUGGUUUUUGCCCUUCCAGUUCUGGAGCCAGAGGCGGAUUUCGGGCAGUGUGAACGGUAUGGUCGCACCAGGCACAUAGCUGAGGAAUGUGCCUUCUCAAAGCUUGGUAAACACUUGCCUGGCUUGGGGAAUGAGGUGUGAGGGCUCUGGCAGGGUCCUAGAGCCCUCUGUCCUCCUUCCCAAAGCCAAGCAAGUCCUUAGCAGGCUUUGGGAAUACGGUAGGAGAGCUGGAGGACUCUGCCAGAGCCUCACUCCACCUUCCCAAAGCCCAGCUUAAACCAGUGCUGCGAGGGCUGGGGUGUGUGUGCCAAAUGGCCUCUAUAGGACAGCAUAUUACCGAGGUCUGCCCCUGCCACAACUCUUGUGUCAGUAAGACAGAAAAUGGGGAUGUUAUGGAAAGAAUCAUGGGCAUGCUGGGGGAAGUCAUGAGUCUGUUGAUUUCCCAAUCUCAUGGCAUUUCCCAAAACCAGGAUGAAAACUAAGCCAUUCCUGGAACUGGUGAAGUUUAUUCCAUUGUUCCCACUGAGAGGUGGGUCAUUAAGAAGAACGAAAGAACAUAUUCUCAGCUGAGCUGACUCCAUAAGAACAGUGGCUGUUAUCCUUUUUUUAGUCUUUUAUUUAAAAAAAUAUAGGUCAUUGUGUAUUCAUAAAACAGGAUGGACCAAGAGGUCAGAAGUCCAUGCAAAUAUAAUACAUUCAUUCAUCUCACAUAUGGUUCAAUAAUUCAUUUCUUUUCUAUUUUAAAAUACCAAGAUCUAGCUCGCUAGCAAGCAGGCAGGCAGGCAGGCAGGCAUAGUGCUGAGUUUCAACUCCAAACAAAAGAGCAUUUAAUUUCUGAGUUAUCUUCACCCUGCUCCUUCACAUAGCUUUUCUUAUCCACAAUUUUGGAAUGCUUGUUCCUUCAGGUCACAGUGGUGGAGAAGCACGGCUCGAGCGUUAUCACUGCAGCUUGCAAACCAAAACAGUAUUUAUCUUUGAAGUAUCCCUGAGAAGGGUCUUUAGCCUGAGUCCCCUUAAAGCCUUGCAGGACCAAUAAGGAUGCAUUUCUCCUUGCUUCAGUCUAGCUGGCUACAAGGUGGCCAGUCUCCUCUAUAGUUUGUUGCAAUCCCUUUGACCAUCUUGGUUGCCCUUUCCGGCAGCUCCCAGGCUGUCAAGGGCGUUAUGUGGUCCUUCAGUGCUAUAGCUUCCUAAAGGUAGGGUGCUACCUGGAAUGUCCGUCUGAGGCUGUUUCCAGUGAGCUUUUAAUUUAUCCCCAUCCUGAGCUGAGGUCCAUCACACGUUCUUCUUGCUUCUCCUCUUCCCAGAAGGGCUUACCAGACUUUGAUGCCAGGCCCAGUGGAUCUUGACUGGGGCUGAGCACACAUUCCUAACACUUCUGGUUUGGGAAAGAAUGUACAUUCAUUAGCUACAACCCAUAACUAUUCUGUAUCUAUCCUGUUGUUUCUCAUGAAAAUGCUGUGUUUUGAUUCAUUUCCCCCCUAAACCAGCUUCAAUCUGCAUUGAGAAAAAGAACAACCUAGAUGUGUCAUGAGCCAAUAGUGUAUACACAACCCCAGGAAUAUCUGAAUAUACACGUGUGUGUGUGUGUGUAUGUGUGUGUGUGUGUGUCAGGUCUACUGAAGAAAUGAGAACAUUGAUUUUCCUUUCAAAAAACAGGCUGUUUUUUUUUUUAAAAAAAGGUAUUUGCUCACAGUAAGAUUGUGGAGACCUAUAAUGUAGCACCAUUUGUUCUGCCUUUAGCAAAAUUUCAUGCUAAAUUUGUUCACCAUUGCAUUAGAAAUUGUGCUGCAAGGACAGAAAAUUUCCAGGCUUAAGCAAUGGACGGCUGGUGUGUGUGUGUAGCCAACACUUUGCAAAGGGCUGCACAUUGCUAUGGCCAAUGAUAUACUCCUAGUUCAGGGGCCUCAUUCAAAUGAAGACCCAACAAAUGGGAGCUUCAUAUAAUCCUCCCCCAACUUUUGGCAGCAGUGGUAAAAAGAAAAAAAUAGACCCAGUGUUACUUGACCCCAAUGCCCUGAUGGCAAUGCAAAUUAUUUUCUCCGUGUACGUCAAAGUGAUCAUGUGAUGAGCCCUUAGGCCACAACAACCCCAUCCUUUGCUGAUCUACAUGGAUUAGCUCAGGGGUCAGCAAGCUUACUGGACGACGGGCCAGUCCAUGCUCUGUCUGUCGGAGGAUGGGCUGGUGGCGUGUGCACAUGCUAUUUCCGGCACUCCUUCGACCUGGAUGUGCGCCAGAAAUAGCGUGUGUGCAUGUGCACGGGCACUUCUCCAUCCCGCACGCAUGUACACAUUCUAUUUCCAGCGCACAUCCGGGUCAGAGGAGAGCCCGUGCGCAUGCCAUCAGAGCGGAGGCGGGGGCGGGGGCGGGAGGGGUCGCCAUGGGCCAGCUAGAUGAGCCCCGUGGGCUGCUACCGGCCCAUGGGCCUUAGGUUGCCGACCCCUGGAUUAGCUAAACAGGGGGGUAUUUGUCUCUGUCUGUCUGUCUGUGUACAUGUGAGUGUGUGGUGUUGCCAACUAUUGCAGCCCAUGAGUUCAGGAGGCAAAAAUGCAGGGGUGGAGCCACAUCAGUUCAAAGCUUGGGAAUUUGGGAGGGCUUGGAGAAGACUGUGCCAACACAGAAUAGACCACAAAUCAGUUUCAAAAGCUCACAAUCAAAAAUAGUGCAUCAUUAAGAGUAAAGCAAACAACAAACAACAGCAAACUUGUUGUGAAUUUAUUAACCAAGAAACAGAUUAAGCCUAAGGAAAAGUAGUAGCUGUCAAAGAUACAGUUAAUUCAGGAUAUAUUUAUCCUGGCCCUGAAAAGAUAAUGAAUAAGUCCAUGGGCAAAUAGCUUCUGCCUGGAGACAGAAGUUGACAACUGGUAGAUUGCUAGUGGCAGAUGACAUGUAUUGGAGAAUUUCAUGUAUGGAAACAUACAUUCCUGCAAUUUGCAUGUUCAUCCAGGGUUAGGAACAGAAAUCACACAAGUAAAUAUGAGCAGUAUUGGCUGUUGUUUAUUUUCAGUCCACAAAUGUUCUGUAAAUAAUUAUGUUAUUUUAUGGCACUGAAAUUAAUUACCGUAUUUUUUGCUCUAUAAGACUCACUUUUUCCCUCCUAAAAAGUAAGGGGAAAUGUGUGUGCGUCUUAUGGAGCGAAUGCAGGCUGCGCAGCUAUCCCAGAAGCCAGAACAGCAAGAGGGAUUGCUGCUUUCACUGCGCAGCGAUCCCUCUUGCUGUUCUGGCUUCUGAGAUUCAGAAUAUUUUUUUUCUUGUUUUCCUCCUCCAAAAACUAGGUGCGUCUUGUGGUCUGGUGCAUCUUAUAGAGCAAAAAACACGGUACAUAACUAAAUAAUCACAUAAGUGUUGGAUGUAGUGGAUAGCGAAAUGAAAAACAUAGGUUAUAGCGCAAGGUGAACUGCAAUGGAACAGAAACAGCGCUGAUUGCUGUGAACCCAGGUUGGGCCAAAUCACUGCCUCCUUCCUUUCCUGGACAGGUGUAACAAUGUGAACGGAGUUCAGAAGCAAAACCAGCAAUAGUGUGGGAGGAGUCUGAAGGAGGGACAGGAAGCAGGGACGAGGGGAGAUGGAUCCAAGGCAAGGAGAGAACAGUAAGCCCAGUAACUGCUUUGUCAGAAAUGAUCUUAAUAGUGUAUGGUGUUUAUAAUGCACAUGACUAGCCUUGAUGGCUAUGAUCUGCCUCCACAGCUGGAUGCAGUAAUACUUCUGAAUGCUAGUUGCUGGAAACCACAGGAAGGGAGAGGACUCUUGUGCUUGAAUUCUGCUUGUCAGUUUCCCACAGGCAUCUGGCUGGCCACUGUGAGAAUGGGAUAAUGGAUUAGGUGGGCUGUUCAUUUGGCCUGAUCCUGCAGGGCUCUUCCUGUGUUCUUAUAUUUAGUUGUACAAACAGUGCCACAUGAAACAACGGGGAAGUACUGUCAGACAGGAGUGUUGCUAAGCCAACACAGUUGAUGCAGAGAAGAUGCAAACAAACAGAUAAUCUCCCAGCCUUUUAUUUAGCAGCUAUAAUGCUCUAAUUGCAUGCCAUGUUAUACCCAUAAAUUGACAAAAGCCUGCCGUUCAUUUAAAAAUAAAGGUACGCUCCUCUUGACGUGUGAGCAGAAUCCGGUAAAAUGUUAUGUUUGUAGUCUAGGAAUUUGUGCCUCUCUAAUUGGUGGGGAAACAAGAGAGCCUUUUAAUGCAUUUUUAAUAUAUAAAGAGGAAGGCUAUUUGAGCGUGACAAGGCCAGAUUGCCCUUAAUGAUGUGCUUCGGUACUUGGAAGCGACUCGCCAUGUUGGAGAAAUAGAUAAAAUAGCUGCCUUAAUCUGGGAGAAACACAAAAGGCUUGAAAAUGUCCUGAAUAAAGCUACUGAGCUGGGGUGGGGGAAAGAACACAGUGCACUGUAGGAGAGCCAGGCAGGAGCAUACCCCUUCCUGGGCCUUGUCCUACAAAGCUGGGAAGCAGUGCAUUGUGGGGUUAGUGAGCAGAAGAUGACAACCAUGGUUGGAGUUCUGGAAACCCCAGGAGGGGAGAGUGUUCACGUGCUCAAGUCCUGUUUGUGGGUAUCUCACAGGUAUCUGGGUGUCCACAGAAAGAAGGAUGCUGGGCCAGACGAGCCAUUGUCCAGAUUCAGCAGGCUCUUCUCAUGAUGUUCAGGGUCAAUUGGCUAGUGCUGAUGCCAUCACUGAUGAAGAGUGACAGAACUCUUAACUCUCUGGUCCCCCUCCCGGAGCCUGUUGUCCAUUGUGACUUGGACAGCAUCACUCAGCC
RNAcentral lists this long non-coding RNA (4817 nucleotides) under Podarcis lilfordi (Lilford's wall lizard). The record is from RNAcentral. Lineage: Eukaryota; Metazoa; Chordata; Lepidosauria; Squamata; Lacertidae.